UACGUAGGGACCAAGCGUUGUUCGGAAUUACUGGGCGUAAAGCGCGUGUAGGCGGCUCGGCAAGUCGGGUGUGAAAGCCCUGGGCUUAACCUAGGAAGUGCACUCGAAACUGCCAAGCUUGAGUUCUGGAGAGGAAGGCGGAAUUCUCGGUGUAGAGGUGAAAUUCGUAGAUAUCGAGAGGAACACCGGUGGCGAAGGCGGCCUUCUGGACAGCAACUGACGCUGAGACGCGAAAGCGUGGGGAGCAAACAGG
Molecule: ribosomal RNA, 253 nt
Filed under: uncultured bacterium
Lineage: Bacteria
Description: partial 16S ribosomal RNA
Rfam family: Bacterial small subunit ribosomal RNA
Source: RNAcentral